AGAGUUUGCUCCUGGCUCAGGAUGAACGCCGGCGGUGUGCCUAAUACAUGCAAGUCGUACGCACUGGCCCAACUGAUUGAUGGCGCUUGCACCUGAUUGACGAUGGAUCACCAGUGAGUGGCGGACGGGUGAGUAACACGUAGGUAACCUGCCUCGGAGCGGGGGAUAACAUUUGGAAACAGACGCUAAUACCGCAUAACAACAAAAGCCACAUGGCUUUUGUUUGAAAGAUGGUUCUGCUAUCACUCUUGGAUGGACCUGCGGUGCAUUAGCUAGUUGGUAAGGUAACGGCUUACCAAGGCAAUGAUGCAUAGCCGAGUUGAGAGACUGAUCGGCCACAUUGGGACUGAGACACGGCCCAAACUCCUACGGGAGGCAGCAGUAGGGAAUCUUCCACAAUGGACGAAAGUCUGAUGGAGCAACGCCGCGUGAGUGAAGAAGGGUUUCGGCUCGUAAAGCUCUGUUGGUAGUGAAGAAAGAUAGAGGUAGUAACUGGCCUUUAUUUGACGGUAAUUACUUAGAAAGUCACGGCUAACUACGUGCCAGCAGCCGCGGUAAUACGUAGGUGGCAAGCGUUGUCCGGAUUUAUUGGGCGUAAAGCGAGUGCAGGCGGUUCAAUAAGUCUGAUGUGAAAGCCUUCGGCUCAACCGGAGAAUUGCAUCAGAAACUGUUGAACUUGAGUGCAGAAGAGGAGAGUGGAACUCCAUGUGUAGCGGUGGAAUGCGUAGAUAUAUGGAAGAACACCAGUGGCGAAGGCGGCUCUCUGGUCUGCAACUGACGCUGAGGCUCGAAAGCAUGGGUAGCGAACAGGAUUAGAUACCCUGGUAGUCCAUGCCGUAAACGAUGAGUGCUAAGUGUUGGGAGGUUUCCGCCUCUCAGUGCUGCAGCUAACGCAUUAAGCACUCCGCCUGGGGAGUACGACCGCAAGGUUGAAACUCAAAGGAAUUGACGGGGGCCCGCACAAGCGGUGGAGCAUGCGGUUUAAUUCGAAGCAACGCGAAGAACCUUACCAGGUCUUGACAUCCAGUGCAAACCUAAGAGAUUAGGUGUUCCCUUCGGGGACGCUGAGACAGGUGGUGCAUGGCUGUCGUCAGCUAGUGUCGUGAGAUGUUGGGUUAAGUCCCGCAACGAGCGCAACCCUUGUCAUUAGUUGCCAUCAUUAAGUUGGGCACUCUAAUGAGACUGCCGGUGACAAACCGGAGGAGGGUGGGGAUGACGUCAAGUCAUCAUGCCCCUUAUGACCUGGGCUACACACGUGCUACAAUGGACGGUACAACGAGAAGCGAACCUGCGAAGGCAAGCGGAUCUCUUAAAGCUGUUCUCAGUUCGGACUGUAGGCUGCAACUCGCCUACACGAAGCUGGAAUCGCUAGUAAUCGCGGAUCAGCACGCCGCGGUGAAUACGUUCCCGGGCCUUGUACUCACCGCCCGUCA
RNAcentral lists this ribosomal RNA (1433 nucleotides) under uncultured bacterium. RNAcentral's name for it is "bacterial SSU rRNA". It matches the Rfam family "Bacterial small subunit ribosomal RNA". The record is from RNAcentral.